Molecule: ribosomal RNA, 1542 nt
Filed under: Salmonella enterica
Lineage: Bacteria; Pseudomonadati; Pseudomonadota; Gammaproteobacteria; Enterobacterales; Enterobacteriaceae
Also listed under: 1 other name
Description: bacterial SSU rRNA
Rfam family: Bacterial small subunit ribosomal RNA
Source: RNAcentral
AAAUUGAAGAGUUUGAUCAUGGCUCAGAUUGAACGCUGGCGGCAGGCCUAACACAUGCAAGUCGAACGGUAACAGGAAGCAGCUUGCUGCUUCGCUGACGAGUGGCGGACGGGUGAGUAAUGUCUGGGAAACUGCCUGAUGGAGGGGGAUAACUACUGGAAACGGUGGCUAAUACCGCAUAACGUCGCAAGACCAAAGAGGGGGACCUUCGGGCCUCUUGCCAUCAGAUGUGCCCAGAUGGGAUUAGCUAGUUGGUGAGGUAACGGCUCACCAAGGCGACGAUCCCUAGCUGGUCUGAGAGGAUGACCAGCCACACUGGAACUGAGACACGGUCCAGACUCCUACGGGAGGCAGCAGUGGGGAAUAUUGCACAAUGGGCGCAAGCCUGAUGCAGCCAUGCCGCGUGUAUGAAGAAGGCCUUCGGGUUGUAAAGUACUUUCAGCGGGGAGGAAGGUGUUGCGGUUAAUAACCGCAGCAAUUGACGUUACCCGCAGAAGAAGCACCGGCUAACUCCGUGCCAGCAGCCGCGGUAAUACGGAGGGUGCGAGCGUUAAUCGGAAUUACUGGGCGUAAAGCGCACGCAGGCGGUCUGUCAAGUCGGAUGUGAAAUCCCCGGGCUCAACCUGGGAACUGCAUUCGAAACUGGCAGGCUUGAGUCUUGUAGAGGGGGGUAGAAUUCCAGGUGUAGCGGUGAAAUGCGUAGAGAUCUGGAGGAAUACCGGUGGCGAAGGCGGCCCCCUGGACAAAGACUGACGCUCAGGUGCGAAAGCGUGGGGAGCAAACAGGAUUAGAUACCCUGGUAGUCCACGCCGUAAACGAUGUCUACUUGGAGGUUGUGCCCUUGAGGCGUGGCUUCCGGAGCUAACGCGUUAAGUAGACCGCCUGGGGAGUACGGCCGCAAGGUUAAAACUCAAAUGAAUUGACGGGGGCCCGCACAAGCGGUGGAGCAUGUGGUUUAAUUCGAUGCAACGCGAAGAACCUUACCUGGUCUUGACAUCCACAGAAGAAUCCAGAGAUGGAUUGGUGCCUUCGGGAACUGUGAGACAGGUGCUGCAUGGCUGUCGUCAGCUCGUGUUGUGAAAUGUUGGGUUAAGUCCCGCAACGAGCGCAACCCUUAUCCUUUGUUGCCAGCGGUUAGGCCGGGAACUCAAAGGAGACUGCCAGUGAUAAACUGGAGGAAGGUGGGGAUGACGUCAAGUCAUCAUGGCCCUUACGACCAGGGCUACACACGUGCUACAAUGGCGCAUACAAAGAGAAGCGACCUCGCGAGAGCAAGCGGACCUCAUAAAGUGCGUCGUAGUCCGGAUUGGAGUCUGCAACUCGACUCCAUGAAGUCGGAAUCGCUAGUAAUCGUGGAUCAGAAUGCCACGGUGAAUACGUUCCCGGGCCUUGUACACACCGCCCGUCACACCAUGGGAGUGGGUUGCAAAAGAAGUAGGUAGCUUAACCUUCGGGAGGGCGCUUACCACUUUGUGAUUCAUGACUGGGGUGAAGUCGUAACAAGGUAACCGUAGGGGAACCUGCGGUUGGAUCACCUCCUUA